RNAcentral lists this ribosomal RNA (447 nucleotides) under uncultured bacterium. RNAcentral's name for it is "bacterial SSU rRNA". It matches the Rfam family "Bacterial small subunit ribosomal RNA", at positions 329 to 792 of the family's 1533-position model. The record is from RNAcentral.
UUCCAGACUCCUACGGGAGGCAGCAGUGGGGAAUAUUGCACAAUGGGGGAAACCCUGAUGCAGCGACGCCGCGUGAGUGAAGAAGUAUUUCGGUAUGUAAAGCUCUAUCAGCAGGGAAGAUAAUGACGGUACCUGACUAAGAAGCCCCGGCUAACUACGUGCCAGCAGCCGCGGUAAUACGUAGGGGGCAAGCGUUAUCCGGAUUUACUGGGUGUAAAGGGUGCGUAGGUGGCAUGGCAAGUCAGAAGUGAAAGCCCGGGGCUCAACCCCGCGGACUGCUUUUGAAACUGUCAGGCUGGAGUACAGGAGAGGUAAGCGGAAUUCCUAGUGUAGCGGUGAAAUGCGUAGAUAUUAGGAGGAACACCAGUGGCGAAGGCGGCUUGCUGGACAGUAACUGACACUGAGGCACGAAAGCGUGGGGAGCAAACAGGAUUAGAUACCCGUGUA